This 1674-nucleotide long non-coding RNA is filed under the name Acyrthosiphon pisum (pea aphid). Its description in RNAcentral is "uncharacterized LOC107884444". Lineage: Eukaryota; Metazoa; Arthropoda; Insecta; Hemiptera; Aphididae. The record is from RNAcentral.
AUAUAAUGUUAUGUAUCUGUAUGUGUGUGUGUGUGCAAUCAUAGGUCAAAAUUAUUAAAGAUCAACUAAGUGUCGACGACGACGUUUUCCCUGUUUUUUUUCGCACAGUUCACACCGCUGAUAACAUGUUAAAAAAGUCUUUCUUUUUAACACGACUCGUCGAAACAUCGAAUAACACUGCAUACAGGCACUCGAUGUGUGUAGGUACAUAUUUGUACACAUCAUGACCUAUGUAAUAUUGCGAUUUGCACAAACCACAUAAUAUCCGUGUAAUGCUAAUAUAUGUAAUAUUAAUAAUACAAUUACAGUUUUAUAAAUAGGCAAUUAAAAUUACGGACAUGAAUAUUAUACCUUCGUAGGUACAUUAUAAUAAUGGCAUAUCAUUAUAAGUAUUAUUAUUAUUAUUGUACAAUGUGCGCGAGGACAGCAAAAGCUGCAAUAUGGCAAUAUCACGACAACACAAUAUAAUAUAAUAUAAUAUUUUGUUAAUACUCGCGGAAGAGGAGUGCAGCGCGGCGAAGCUGUCGGCGAACCGUAUCGCCAGAAAAUACGAAAAGACGUGUAGGUAGGUAGGUAAUAAUACCUACGAAUAUUAUAAAUUCGUACACAGUUGUAGAUACCUACGCACGAGGAGCAGUAAUGUUGGAAACGAGGAAAAUAAAAAAACAAUAAUAAGUAAUAUUAUUGUUGUAACGGACGCACAAGGCAGCGGACGGACGACUAUAUAAUACGCGCACUUCGUAUAUAAUAAUAAUAAUAAUAUCAAACAGGACAUCCUUUGGGCAACCAACCGGCUGUGAUGUGGCAAUAUCUUCGGUGCGGGCAGGAAGCAAUUGGCCGUCUCCGUCAUCCGUCUCUCUUUAACUCAACAAUUGGCCGUAGUUCCUCCUUCGGCGCCCGUUUCCGGCGUUCGGCGACCACGACGACGACGACGACGACAAAAUAAUAUUAUGUCACAUCGCGCACGAUCAUAGGUAGUCGUAGUCGCAACGCCAACCGCGACAGGUCGCACAGCACGUCGUCCAGAUGGGAAUAAUAUAAGGCAAACGAUAUUGUUAUCUGUGUCAUACACUUUAUCGCUCAGAUUUUACACAUCGCGCCGUGUUGAUAUGAUAAACCACGCUCUCACGAACCCACCGAGAGACCGGAAGGUUGCUAUCACGUUCAAUUGUUCAAAGCUAUCGCGGUAAACACAAACACGCCAAAUCCCACUCGCCUCGUGCAUUGUGCAACAAUGUACAGACUCGAAAACAAACUGCUUAAAAAGCUACCACUUUACGAGCUAUACAUAGACAAUGAUAAGACGUGUCGAAGACAAAAAAGCAGUUCGCAGUUCUUUGUUUCGCAGUCGUGGGAAUGACUUCAUGUGCGGGGUCCGUAUAGUCAAAGUGCAAAAAAGUGUAGCAAUAAUUUAAGUCCUUUAUAAAAUGCAUCGAUAUAUAUUAUUAUUAUUUCCGACUAUAACGCAGAAAUCGUGACGCGCUCAGUUCUGUAAUAUGUGCCACGGCUUGAACUUAAUAUAAUAUUAUCAUGAAACAUUUUUAUUUAUGAAUUUGUUAAAAGUACCUACGAGCAAUAUAAUAGCAUUAGAUAUAAUAUACAUUAUACGAUAAACACACAGUUAUAUUACAAACUUUUAAAUACACAAAGAAUACUGAUGUAGUUUUACAGGUA